Molecule: long non-coding RNA, 381 nt
Organism: Chelonia mydas (Green sea turtle)
Lineage: Eukaryota; Metazoa; Chordata; Testudines; Cheloniidae
Exons: 3
Source: RefSeq, a predicted model, not a curated record
GUUCGCCUGGCUCCGGUCUCCAAGGGCUCGCCUGGCUGAAGAUCCCAUCUGAACCCUUUGGUGGGACUGGUUAGACGUAGGGAAUCGGGCAGACUGACGUGCAGACUUUUGAGAUCAUCAUGGAAAGUUAAGGAUUUCAUGACAUCAGUAAGGUUACUUAGGAGAAGCAGGAAAGACUGAGAAGAAGUCAUUCUGAAAUGAAGAAAAAACAGGCAGUUCUGUACAGCUUCUUGAUUCUCAAAAUCUUUGGGGAAGAAUUCCAAAACACACUAUCAAAGACUGCCUCUGAAUAAAAGAAAAUGAGGCUCUACUUGAAAUUCCUACCAAAAGGAAACAAAAUCAUCUCCUGAGUAAAGACAGGACAAAAAAAAUAAAUAUGUG